CCGGGCGUACGCGCCGUCCAAGCCCAGGAAUAGAACGAGGCGUCGCGGCAGGGGUUGUCUGCGGCCCACGUGAGCGAGGCAAGGGGCGGCCCGAGACGGUCGAUAGUGGCGCUGUCGUCGUUGUCCGCGAGGUAGAGGGUCGCGGCGCCGGUCGCAGGGAGGACGGGGGCACCGGCGGCUGGUGAACUCGGAGGCUGCGGCUGUGCGACGACGUCCGUGGUGGUGGCGACAGCUACGACGACGCGACCACGAUGCGGCAGGGGAUGGAGGCUUCCUCGCCUGGGCUUGGGCGCGUCAGCACGGCGUUGGGCCGUUGCCGGUGGCGUCGAGGCCGGCGCACGCAUGGACAGGGCGCCCAAGGGUGAGCCGCCGCGACGUGUGGGCGGGCUGAGCCGGGCGUUCAACCACGAUGCGGCGGGGAUGAAAGCCGCCUUGCCGGGGCUUGCGGGGCAGCACGGCGUCGGGCCGUUGAGCAGAUCUUCUCCAUCCACGAGUCCAACUUCCUGUUUGGCGCGCAGGCGCUGGAGCCGGCAGGGGCGUGCUCUGCGGGGCACGCUCGCCGCGGCCGUGCUGGUCAGGCUCGAGCGCUGACUGCGGGAGCUGUCCGGGAACCCCGAGGCCCGCGUAGUGGACUACUUCAAGCAGGGUCCGGCGCCGGAUGGUUCCUGGCGGCUGCGUUGUUCGCGCGCCGGAUGCCGGCGGAGGCGGCGUGCGACGUCGUGGCCAAGAACCGCAAGGUGUUCUCCGGGCGCCACGGCCGCGGUGGGUUCUUCUCCGGGGCCGAUGCAGGUUUUGUAAUUGCUUGAAGUUGUCCAGUUCAGAUGUCCAUACACUUCAAUGAAAUACCCUCAGCUGCUUUCCAAUCUGAGAGUUGAAUCGAAGGUGUGCAUUUGAACCCGUGAAAUUAUUAUUUUGUUUUUUCGUAUCUCAUCAGUUUUUUGAUUCUUAGAUUGAAGAGAUCCUACGGAAUUCUACAACAUCUGAAUUUGGUAGUGUAUAUUAUUUUUCGGAGAGAGGUGAUUGAAUGAUUGAUCUUGAUGUGUUCCAUCAAAAGCUUAUCUAGGUUGCUUGUUCAGUCCUGUUCAUAUUGGGUUUGAGAUUAUUAUGUUCUUCAAGUUGCUUCUCUUGAUGUUUAGAUGUCUCAAGAACUGCGCACACAAUUGAGCGAGUCUGAGAAAGGAGAGCUAAAAGAAUCGUUCCAUCAUAUGCUGAAAUGGGCCUGGAGAUAUAAUAAAUAUCUUGAAGAACAGGCAGCCCAGCUUCACAUGUUAACUAGCUGGUCGAAAACUGUUGAAGUGAGUUGUGUGUGUGCAUGACCACUUAAUCUUUUCUGUUGGGAAUUUCAUAUUGUAACCCGCUUAUUGUUAAUUUCAGGUAGCUGUAUCAAGAAGUAAUAAUUUUAAGACAUUGAAGUUCAGAACCUCUAUUGAAACUCUUUCGUAGUAUUAUAUGAACUUCUGUAUUUGAACUCUUUCAUAGACGUUUAUACUGAGGUUGCUCUUCUAUAGACAUUUAUAGAGGUUGCUCUUUUAUAGACAUUUCGAAGCAAGCCGCUAAGCCCAAGUCUCGAAUCAGGAUUGUCGUCGUUCGUCAGUCCCAAUGCAGCUAGGAGAUUGUGGCGGCAGCGGUGGGUUUUGGGUCGGCGAGCUGCAGGGAUUUGCUGGACGCACGCCAUCACAUGUCGAGCCACACAUAGUGACCGAUGGUGGCGGAUUAGAGUUGGAAUUCAAGAGGUUUGUGUGGUUUCAGUUAUCCGAUGAUUGGGCGAGAGCGGAGCAACAGAGGCCGGCCAAGAACAUGACCAGGGAUAACACAUCUUGCUUGAUUUCCCGAGCGACCUAAGGUUGGUUGCAUCCUGCAUGACCUCAUAUUGUUCAUGAGAGUUUUGUGAUGUUCUUUUUUUAGAGAAGUUUUGUGAUCUUAAUUCAUGAGACAUUUGACGUGGUACUAUGUGGCUGUAAACGUAAUCUGCAAUUCAGAGCAAACAGAGUGAACAAACCAAGGACAUGCAGGUUAGUCCGUUAGUGUCUUACUUUUCUUUUUGUAAUUCUAUCGUACUGUAUAGUUAGUACAAAAUCAUCAAAUAUUCAGGAUAUGUUUAUAAUUUUGUGAAACUGAAAUGUGCAACAUGUUCAGUGGACUGGUGAAUUAUAAUUUUGUGAAACUGAAAUGUGUUACUGAAACCUGACUGGUGAUGAACUAACCGAUUCACACAAAGGCUUGCUGAUAACAACUUGAGUUGGCCGAGUCUCGCCGAGUUGAGCGUGGAGUAGAAGGUGUCGAGUGAACUUGAGUCAGUGUCAUUCGCUGUAAUGAUCGCCCGGGCGGCCGUGUAGCUGUCUUAGAUGGAGUCCAAGGGGAAGACCAAGAGGAGGUGCGAUAAGAUUGAGCUUUCCAGAAUUUUGGGGAGGUGGCGCUUGUCGCACUCAAAACUUUUAUUUGUAUAUGUUGCAUGCUACUACCUCCUAAUCAAUAUGUCAUUGAAAUGAAGUAGAUGCAGCUCUUCAUAGAUAUUGUCACAUGUUCUGGUUUGCAGGUUAAAUAUUUGAUGCCCUCAUUUUGGUAAUGAGAGCAAUGCAAUAUUCUGAAGGUCACACAUAUGAGGGAAACUGGCAUGUGUCUAUCUCUCAGGCUGGAAACUGCAAUUUGUGUUCUGAGCUACGAGCUCCAAAUAAAUUAGUUUUCUCUGUUCUUCAAGUUGUUAUGUUAUUUCAGGAUUGGCAUUACUAAUAAUGCGGAGGGGUUUUUCCAUUCAAUAAAAUAUUAAAUUCCAAAUUCGUUGCCAGUUUCUAUAAGUAUUGUACUAUUUUGUUAGAUUGUUGUUUGCCAUUUAUAUCAAUUGCCAUUCUUACCCACUUCCUCUGAUUGUAGCUCUUUGUGUGAAUCGGUUAGUUCAUCACCAGUCAGGUUUCUUAAAAUUUCAGGCAAGUAAAUUGAUAUGCAAUGUACAAUCAAUUGAUGAAUUGAUAAUUUGGUGUAGCAUGGAGAUCGAUCUCAUUGGUACAUAUAUUCUUCAGUUGGAAUAAGGCAAUCUGUAUGUUGUCUAUAAUCUCACACUUGAGUUUUGAGCACUGUUCUCACCUUCUUUACUUGAUAAAAAAAAUCAUUAUUCAACUUUGUUCUCUCAUGAUCACAUCGCAAGUUGUAUGGAUAUACUUUAAUAAUACAUUGCCCCAAAAGGUAAUUGGCUUUGACGUUCAUUCCAGAAGUUAACUCUUUCACCUCAUUUUCUUCAAAGGUUGAAUUUUCCCUGUAUGAAAUAUAUAUAAGAUAAAUAAUAUGCAUUUUGAUCGUUCUUAAUUUGAAUAUGCAUUUGUGGCCAUAUAUCCUUGCAAGUAAGUGAUGUGGAUCUAUGUGCAAGGAGGAUAGGGGCAUACGAUUUUUUUUCUCCCGUUGCAACGCACGGGCAUGUUUCCUAGU
RNA transcript from Triticum aestivum (bread wheat), 3420 nucleotides. RefSeq lists it as uncharacterized. The transcript has 3 exons. The record is from RefSeq and is a predicted model, not a curated record. NCBI's taxonomy places the organism in Eukaryota, Viridiplantae, Streptophyta, Magnoliopsida, Poales, Poaceae.